CGAACGCUGGCGGCGUGGAUAAGACAUGCAAGUCGGACGCUUGAUUUUGUAGCAAUAUGAGGAUACGGGAGUGGCGAAAGGGUGCGUAACACGUGGGUAAUUUGUCUGAGAGUCAGGAUAAUUCGCUGAGAGGCGGAGUAAUACUGGAUGUGGAUAUUGGCUGGGAACGGCUGAUAUCUAAAGCCGGGGACCGCAAGGCCUGGUGCUCUUAGGUAAGCCCGCGACCUAUCAGCUAGUUGGUGAGGUAAGAGCCCACCAAGGCGGAGACGGGUAGCUGGUCUGAGAGGACGACCAGCCACACUGGAACUGAGACACGGUCCAGACACCUACGGGUGGCAGCAGUCGAGAAUUUUUCUCAAUGGGGGAAACCCUGAAGGAGCGACGCCGCGUGGGGGAUGAAGGGCUUCGGCUCCGUAAACCCCUGUCAUUUGUGAGCAAGUGUUAUUGUUUAAGAGAUGAUGACAUUGAUAGUAGCAAAAGAGGAAGGGACGGCUAACUCUGUGCCAGCAGCAGC
This 514-nucleotide ribosomal RNA is filed under the name uncultured bacterium. RNAcentral describes it as "bacterial SSU rRNA". It matches the Rfam family "Bacterial small subunit ribosomal RNA", at positions 30 to 518 of the family's 1533-position model. The record is from RNAcentral.